CCUGUAGACAUAGUUUAAAGCAAAACAUCGGGCCGUGAACCCGAAAACAGAAGCCCAUUCC
RNAcentral lists this transfer RNA (61 nucleotides) under Varanus doreanus. RNAcentral's name for it is "partial tRNA-His". The record is from RNAcentral. Lineage: Eukaryota; Metazoa; Chordata; Lepidosauria; Squamata; Varanidae.